CACCUCGGGCACAGUCCAGCUGCUUGUCAUGUUUAAAGCCCGCCGCUGCGCUGCCAAGCAUAGUGAUCAUCAGUCCGGAAGUAAUGAGUGUCAGACUCCUGUCGGCGGAAGGCUUGGCACCUGCGAGGGAUGCCUAGGAGAAACCCUCUUUGUUCAGAAUUACCAGUGAUGGAGAUCAAUGUAACAGUUCACUUAUACAGAGGAGUUGAUUCCAGAAACUCAUAGCGACUCCUGCGGACUGAUCGUUUUUUUGAAAGAAGUUCCUAGCCUGUUGCUACAAGCUGCUACAAUGUAGAGCUUGGUCCUACAGAACUACAAUUCCCAGCAUGCUGUGGACCUCCGCGGUUGCAGUGCACCCUGGGAAG
This is a long non-coding RNA of Alexandromys fortis (reed vole), 365 nucleotides long. RefSeq lists it as uncharacterized. The transcript has 3 exons. The record is from RefSeq and is a predicted model, not a curated record. Lineage: Eukaryota; Metazoa; Chordata; Mammalia; Rodentia; Cricetidae.